RNAcentral lists this transfer RNA (82 nucleotides) under Exophiala mesophila. RNAcentral's name for it is "tRNA-Ser (TGA) (tRNA-Ser-TGA-1-1)". It matches the Rfam family "tRNA". Rfam says of the family: Transfer RNA (tRNA) molecules are approximately 80 nucleotides in length. Their secondary structure includes four short double-helical elements and three loops (D, anti-codon, and T loops). Lineage: Eukaryota; Fungi; Ascomycota; Eurotiomycetes; Chaetothyriales; Herpotrichiellaceae. The record is from RNAcentral.
GUCGGAAUGGCCGAGUGGUCUAAGGCGUGUGACUUGAAAUCACAUCUCUUCGGAGGCACAGGUUCGAACCCUGUUUCCGACG